AGGGGAAUAUUGGACAAUGGGCGAAAGCCUGAUCCAGCCAUGCCGCGUGUGUGAAGAAGGCCUUUUGGUUGUAAAGCACUUUAAGCGAGGAGGAGGCUACUUAGAUUAAUACUCUAGGAUAGUGGACGUUACUCGCAGAAUAAGCACCGGCUAACUCUGCGCCAGCAGCCGCGGUAAUACAGAGGGUGCGAGCGUUAAUCGGAUUUACUCGGCGUAAAGCGUGCGUAGGCGGUUUUUUAAGUCGGAUGUGAAAUCCCUGAGCUUAACUUAAGAAUUGCAGUCGAUACUGGGAAGCUAGAGUAUGGGAGAGGAUGGUAGAAUUCGAGGUGGAGCGGGGAAAUGCGUAGAGAACUGGAGGAAUACCGAUGGCGAAGGCAGCCAUCUUGCCUAAUUCUGACGCUGAGGUACGAAAGCAUGGGGAGCAAACAGG
RNAcentral lists this ribosomal RNA (430 nucleotides) under bacterium. RNAcentral's name for it is "partial 16S ribosomal RNA". It matches the Rfam family "Bacterial small subunit ribosomal RNA", at positions 355 to 776 of the family's 1533-position model. The record is from RNAcentral.